GAUAGAGGUGCGGUAUUGCGUGUAAUACGGCGUAGGCUGCCAGAGCCUGUGAUCCCGUGUGAAUAGCCUUGCCGCCGAAAAGCUGGGUUUUGGCAUGCUCCGCUUUGGUUAUAUGCCGCAGCGGUAUAUAACUGUCAUCAUAACCUUGUUUGAUGGAGAGCUAUCG
Molecule: non-coding RNA, 166 nt
Filed under: bovine gut metagenome
Also listed under: 1 other name
Description: Lysine riboswitch
Rfam family: Lysine riboswitch aptamer
About the family: Riboswitches are metabolite binding domains within certain messenger RNAs that serve as precision sensors for their corresponding targets. Allosteric rearrangement of mRNA structure is mediated by ligand binding, and this results in modulation of gene expression.
Source: RNAcentral